GACCCCGCACAAGCGGUGGAGUAUGUGGUUUUAAAUUCGAUGCAACACGAAGAACCUUACCAGGGUUUGAAAUCAUUUCAAAACUCCUUGAAAGAGAGCCUCCUUCGGGAUGAAAUGACAGGUGGUGCAUGGCUGUCGUCAGCUCGUGUUGUGAAAUGUCGAGUUAAGUCUCGUAACGAGCGCAACCCAUGUCUCUUGUUGCUCACUGAGUGCUUAAGAGAGACUGCCGACCAACAUCGGAGGAAGGUGUGGAUGAUGUCAAGUCAGCAUGCCCCCUUUACAUCCUGGGGCUACACACGUACUACAAUGGUAGGGACAAUGAGCUGCGAUCCUGCGAAGGCUAGCC
Molecule: ribosomal RNA, 346 nt
Filed under: uncultured bacterium
Lineage: Bacteria
Description: bacterial SSU rRNA
Rfam family: Bacterial small subunit ribosomal RNA
Source: RNAcentral